This is a non-coding RNA of Taeniopygia guttata (zebra finch), 979 nucleotides long. The record is from RefSeq and is a predicted model, not a curated record. NCBI's taxonomy places the organism in Eukaryota, Metazoa, Chordata, Aves, Passeriformes, Estrildidae.
GCCCUGUCACACCUGCCUCGCACUUUGUCCCUGCCGUGGCAGCCUGGUGGCACUGGGUGGAUCCAGGUGCCGCUACCGCCCAUCCCACAUGUCCCUCCCGACCCUGGGUGGAUCCAGGUGCCACUGCUGCCCAUCCCACAUGUCCCUCCCGACCCUGGGUGGAUCCAGGUGCCACUGCCGCCCGUCCCACAUGUCCCUCCCGACCCUGGGUGGAUCCAGGUGCCGCUGCUCAGGGACAUGGCACCCCCGUGCACCCCUGGGCUCUCCAGGGCAGGCAGGUCCGUGUCCUCCUAACAGUGCACGAUCUCUGGAGAGAUGGAAAAUUCAAGUUUUGGCAUGAAAUAAGGAUUUUUGACAGCCACUGGCCAGAUGGGAAAUACUUUGUUGCCCAUGGAUGCUGGGAAAAGCUGGUGGCCUAGAAGAGACAAUCAGUAACUACAAUUUGUUUCCCAACAGCAAGGGUGGGCUCUCGGGGACCCUGGGCUUUGGGAAAAAGGAAUUCCCGGGUCAGAACUCCUGGACCUGAACACAGAAAGGAAAACCAGGUUGGGCUGCUGCCCAACCUUUGUACCACCACAUGCCAAAGCCUGCAGGCAUCUCCAGUGUGGGGCCUGCUGCUCAUUCCCAGAUAUCCCAGUGUGGGGAAAAACACCUCAUUCAGGGCUUUAGUGUUGGGAAGUGAUUUUUGGUCCCUGCUGAGAGAUGUCCCUGGGCAGUUGUGUGGCUGCAGGGUUUGCUUGCUGGAGACAGCACUCUCCAGAGCCCACGGAGCAGGGAUUAGGGCUGGACAAGAUGGAUGAGUUUUAAACAGAGCAAAGCUUUUUAAAACUCACUGGGAAAUCUCCUGCAUCUCCGUAAACAUCAUUCCCUGCUCCCAUUUGCAAGGAUUUUUCAAAGCCCCUUUGAUCUUCUGUUCCUCACAGAGAGGGGGAAGGGAAAAAAAAAAUUAAAAUUAUAGAUCCUAAGCUUCUUGGAUAAA